This 253-nucleotide ribosomal RNA is filed under the name uncultured bacterium. RNAcentral describes it as "partial 16S ribosomal RNA". It matches the Rfam family "Bacterial small subunit ribosomal RNA", at positions 524 to 776 of the family's 1533-position model. The record is from RNAcentral.
UACGGGGGGAGCAAGCGUUGUUCGGAUUUACUGGGCGUAAAGGGCGCGUAGGCGGUAGCACAAGUCAGGCGUGAAAUUCCUGGGCUUAACCUGGGGGCUGCGCUUGAUACGUGUGGACUGGAGUGCGGAAGAGGGUCGUGGAAUUCCCAGUGUAGAGGUGAAAUUCGUAGAUAUUGGGAAGAACACCGGUGGCGAAGGCGGCGACCUGGUCCGUGACUGACGCUGAGGCGCGAAAGCGUGGGGAGCAAACAGG